This 497-nucleotide ribosomal RNA is filed under the name uncultured bacterium. RNAcentral's name for it is "partial 16S ribosomal RNA". It matches the Rfam family "Bacterial small subunit ribosomal RNA", at positions 28 to 507 of the family's 1533-position model. The record is from RNAcentral.
GAUGAACGCUGGCGGCGUGCCUAAUACAUGCAAGUUGAGCGAACAGAUGAGGAGCUUGCUCCUCUGACGUUAGCGGCGGACGGGUGAGUAACACGUGGAUAACCUACCUAUAAGACUGGGAUAACUUCGGGAAACCGGAGCUAAUACCGGAUAAUAUAUUGAACCGCAUGGUUCAAUAGUGAAAGACGGUUUUGCUGUCACUUAUAGAUGGAUCCGCGCCGCAUUAGCUAGUUGGUAAGGUAACGGCUUACCAAGGCGACGAUGCGUAGCCGACCUGAGAGAGUGGUCGGCCACACGGGAACGGAGACACGGUCCAGACUCCUACGAGAGGCAGCAGUAGGGAAUCUUCCGCAAUGGGCGAAAGCUUGACGGAGCAACGCCGCGUGAGUGAUGAAGGUCUUCGGAUCGUAAAACUCUGUUAUUAGGGAAGAACAAAUGUGUAAGUAACUAUGCACGUCUUGACGGUACCUAAUCAGAAAGCCACGGCUAACUACGUG